Molecule: long non-coding RNA, 1546 nt
Organism: Taeniopygia guttata (zebra finch)
Lineage: Eukaryota; Metazoa; Chordata; Aves; Passeriformes; Estrildidae
Source: RefSeq, a predicted model, not a curated record
GGCCGCGCGGCGGGGCCCGCGCGCCGCUCCGCGGCAGCAGCGGCUGCGCAGCGCGGGAGGGAGCGGCGCCGGCCCGGAGCCCGCUAAGGACUCGGCGUGGACGCUACACGACUUCCAGUCUAGUUACAACUCCCUGCCACCGGCUUCCACUAGGCCAGUUUGUACCCAUUACUCAUGGUCCUCUCGCUACUGCAGUUCCUGACAGAGUCCCUGUCUGGCUUCACUUAGAGCUCCCCUUCAGAUACUGGAAGGUCGCCAUGAGGUCUUCACACAAACUUCUCCAGGCCUGAAGAGCCCCAGCUUUCUCAGCCUGUUGUCAUAGGCUGUGCUCCCCUUGUUCCAAGGGCUGUAUGGUAAUGCUCAGCUCAGAUUUGCGACACGGAGACUUCCACAGCUGACAGAGACACUGAUCACCAGCAAGGUUUUUACUGCUGUGAUUUGUAAACCUUGUCAUCAGGUGUGGCUGCCAGCGUUGCCCAGAGCCACCCCGAUGCUGCAGCUUUCCCUGAGCAGGGGCUUUGCAUGGGAGGGGUGAAAAGUGUUCUACAACACAAUCACAUUUUGCAACAGUCCUCAAGAGUAUGAAUUUCUACAAGGGAAAAAUGAAAAAGGAAUCAAGCUCAGUGCCUUUCAGGGAGUCUUUGUAGACUGCAACAAAACCAGAUGAAAAAGGCAUUUCAAGACCACCAACAGCGCAGCAACAGACCUCCAGGUCUUGAUGAAUGAAGCUUGAGCCCAAACUCAACUUACAGCUUUGUUAGGACGUGAGUCUGUAACAACCAACUUACAUCAUGUUGAAGGUAGGUAUUUAAAGGAGGUUUAUUUGGGCUAAUACUAAAUUCAAACAGCCACAAGCUCAUUUUCCAUGUUUACCACACCAACUGCUGACAGAUGAAGUCUCAGUGGAAAGUCCAAAUUUUAAUUUCACCGUAACUUCCUGAAACAUGACUACAGAUUUCAAUAUUUGGCAUUUGAUCCUCAAGAGAGAUACCAUGUUUAAGAACAUUCUACCAAAUACAUUUAAAUUAUGACUUGAAACCAAAACAAUUUGGAAGUUUUGAAACAUAAAACUGUUAGUAUGAAAUUAGUUUUUAUUUUUUUACCUCAAAAUAAAUGCACAUUUAUCAUUUAGUCAAGUGAAAACUGAGGAGUAUCUUAAACAAGGGGGAACCUUAACAGAGCAAUUACCACAAACAUGCUCAAGUUCCUUCCUUCUCCUGCUCUUGCCCAUCUCUGUUUGGCUAAGAACACCAGAAUAAUUUAAUUUUUUCUUUCUUGUCAGUUUGGGCAAUUAAAAGAAACACUUAAAGCACCAGAAUCAGAAGUGGUAUAAAACAAAACCAGGUACUUCUUCUCAUCAGAAUUCAGGCCUAUGUGUUGCCACACUUUUUAUAUAAAACUUUCACUAAGUGUUGUACUAAAUAGGAUUUAGUAAUUUCUUCUGCAGUUUAGCUCUUGAUAUCUUGGUAAGAGAAGUCAAUGCAUAAGCAUGUCAGAAGUCAACGCUAUAGUGUAACUACAGUAUAACUCUAACAGGGCUUCUAAA